GGAGAGGUGGCAGAGUGGUCGAAUGUACCUGACUCGAAAUCAGGCGUGCGUGCAAACGCACCGUGGGUUCGAAUCCCACCCUCUCCGCCA
RNAcentral lists this transfer RNA (90 nucleotides) under Fontimonas sp. Its description in RNAcentral is "tRNA-Ser". It matches the Rfam family "tRNA". Rfam says of the family: Transfer RNA (tRNA) molecules are approximately 80 nucleotides in length. Their secondary structure includes four short double-helical elements and three loops (D, anti-codon, and T loops). Further hydrogen bonds mediate the characteristic L-shaped molecular structure. tRNAs have two regions of fundamental functional importance: the anti-codon, which is responsible for specific mRNA codon recognition, and the 3' end, to which the tRNAs corresponding amino acid is attached (by aminoacyl-tRNA synthetases). tRNAs cope with the degeneracy of the genetic code in two manners: having more than one tRNA (with a specific anti-codon) for a particular amino acid; and 'wobble' base-pairing, i.e. permitting non-standard base-pairing at the 3rd anti-codon position. The record is from RNAcentral. Lineage: Bacteria; Pseudomonadati; Pseudomonadota; Gammaproteobacteria; Nevskiales; Nevskiaceae. RNAcentral also lists the same sequence under 3 other names.